Long non-coding RNA from Hypanus sabinus (Atlantic stingray), 3310 nucleotides. RefSeq lists it as uncharacterized. Lineage: Eukaryota; Metazoa; Chordata; Chondrichthyes; Myliobatiformes; Dasyatidae. The record is from RefSeq and is a predicted model, not a curated record. The transcript is spliced from 4 exons.
UUGAUUUCAUGCCACUGCGUGAUUUAAUGGGAUGACGCAGUUUAGCUGAAGGGUGAAGUUUUAUCAAAUGCCAAAAGUUUAAAAGAUCAUUGCCAGCAGGUUCUUGAAAUACUGCUAGUUCCGAAAUCAGUGGAGAGUGAAGAUCGAAGAUCGAGGAGGAUCUACUUCGACGGUGAAACGGGUUCGACCUUAUUUAAUCCUUAUUCGAAAGGAUUUCGUGGACUGUUCACGUGUUAAUCUCUGCGGGAAAGCAGGAGAUUGAGGACAGUGCGAUAAAGGAAAGAACCCCUUGCCGAACUCAUAUAUUCAUUGUUGCCGGAAUAUGUAACAGGAUGACAUCAGCUUUUCUGUCAAUGCAGAAGCAUCUCACCCACUUCCACGUAGCAAAUCAGUGGUCAGCACUUUACACCACUUAAUAUCUUUGAAUCCAAACCCCAGCUCCUGAAGGGAAAAAGGAAAAUAUGUGCGAAAGUCUGAGAUGCAUAUUCCCACAUAGCUGUCCAGAACACAGCAGGUAACCGUUUGAAUGAAGGUUCCCAGCCCGAGCUGUCGACUGGUUGCUGAGUUCCUCCAACAUUCUCUGUGUGUUUGCUUCUGUUUGUUUAUUGAUUAAAAUAAUCAGACUGGUUCAGUGGAAGAGGAAUUUGUGGAAUGGUCAGAGACAGUUUCAUACAGUAGUUUAUUUACCCAGGAACAUGCCAUUUCAGUUGUAAUCUGUGUAAAGAGGUGGUAUUACAGAGAGUUCUUGCGGUGAAGGAUCCUGAAUAUGAGCAGUGGCAGAUGUUUAAGGAGAAGGUUCGUUAGAGCCGACAUUUAUCCCGAUCAGACAGAGGAAUCACAGGGAGCAAACAACAGUCUGUGGUUAAAAGAGUUCAAGGUAAAUAUUAACUCAGAGAACAAACAAAGAGGCAACGACAGGGUGGACAAAACAGUCGGGAUUUUUCCAGUAACUCAUGAUGCGACAAAAGAUAAAAAUAUCAAGGAAAAACAGAUUAGUUAACUCAAUAAUUUCCAUUAGUGUUUUCAGUGGGGACACAGCAAACAUCCUACAGAUAUCUAACGGUGACAUUUCAAUGCUGUGCCAUAAUGUGUAGCAAUCACCAUCAGGGGUGAUAAACUAAUGGGACUAAAAGCAAAAAUAUCCAGUUCCCAACGACCUGCACCAGACGGUUUCACAGGAAGGCUGGAGAGAAAGUAGAGACAUUGGAAUCUGUCAAAAAUCACUGUUACAGAAAGGUCCCAGUGGAGCUGAAAACCAUUGCUGAAGGGUGGAAGAGAAAGGAAAACAAAGUAGGUAACUGUACUGGAGUCUAUAAUCUGUGAAGAAAUGACAAGUCAUUUAGAAAAGUUUAAUGUCAUUGAACUAAACCAAGAGGGUUUACAGUCAGAUUCACACAGCACAGAAACAAGUCUUCAGCUCAAAUGGUCCACACUGACCAAAAUUCCCAUCUGAGCUUCUGGUCUGUAACCGCCUCACAACGAUAUUAUGAACAAUGUUAUCCUCCGUCCUUGUCCCAUUUCCCACCUUCUGACCCAUAUCCUUCAAAACCUUUCCUUCCCAUUAGCCUGUCCGAGUACUGCUUCGAUGUACCUCAUUCAACCACUCCCCCAGUAGCUCAUUCCAUUUGCUGUCCAGCCUGUGCUUGGAAAUGUUGCCCUUCAGGUUCCUAUUAGAUCUCCUCUUACACCAAUGCCUUCCGGUUCCUGAUUCCCCAACACUGGCAGAAAGACUGUUUUAUUCGACCCACACUGCAAUACACCUCUGCAAUACCAGCACUCAUUCUCUGACAUUCCAGGGAAAAUUGUCCAAAACACCUUUCACAAUUCAGUCCUUUGAGAUCCAGUCACAUCCCAGUAAAUCUCCUCUGCACUCUUUCCAGCUGAUUGGUGUCUGUCAUACAGCAGGGCGACCUGAACUAAACACUAUUUGCAAAAUGCGGCGAAACCAACGUGGUGUGCAUCUGCACCAUUUCUUCCCAGCUUCUAUAUUCGGUGCCCUGACUGAAGGACAGUGUUCCAAACCCCUCUUCACCACCCUGUCCAUCUGGAACCUGGUCUUGGACCCUGUAACCUGGGUUACUGAAUAUUAAAACAAGACACAGAAAAUGCUGGAGGAACACAGCAGGCCAGGCAGCAUCUAUUAGGAGAAGCACUGUCGACGUUUCGGGCCGAGACCCUUCACCCCACACUCAGGUUGGAGGAAUAACACCUUUUAUACCAGCUGGUUAGCCUCCAACCUGAUGGCAUGAACAUUGACUUCUCUAACUUCCGUUAAUGCACCUUCUUACCCCAUCCCUGACAUAUUUAGUUUUUUUCCCCUUUCUCCCUUUAUUUUUUCUUUCUCUCUCUGCGCAUCACUCUGCCUGUUCUCCAUCUCCCUCUGGUGCUCCCCUCCCCUUUUCCUUCUCACUCGGCAUCCCGUCCCAUGAUCCUUUCCCUUCUCGAGCUCUGUAACCCUUUUACCAAUCACCUCUCUGGCUCUCAGCUUCACCCCACCCCCUCCGGUCUUCUCCUGACAUUUUGAAUUCCCCCCCACUUUCAAAUCUCUUACUAUCUUUCCGUUCAGUUAGUCCUGACGAAGGGUCUCGGCCCGAAACUUCGACAGCCCUUCUCCCUAUAGAUGCUGCCUCGCCUGUUGCGUUCCACCAGCAUUUUGUGUGAUACCAGAGUUUUGAGACUUUAUAGGGGAAGUUGGAGAAGUGUGUCUUUGUACUUUCAGGGGCAUUUACCACAUGUAAGGCAAGUGCACAAGACAAGAGCUCUGUGCUGGGAAGGAAGUGUGUUAAUAUUGAUUGAAGUCAGGUUAUCAUACUGAGACAGAAUAACGUGUAAGGAGGAUAUAAUUGGUGGAGUUUUCCAGGGAUCAUCAAUGACUUAUUGAUAUUAAUGACCCGAUGAAAGGGCAGAAUGUGCGGAAUCCACGGUGUCAAUGAUGGGGAACGUGAUGAGGGGACGUGUUGUGUUUGAACAUCUGGUCUCUCCAACAAGACAUGGGGAAGCUGGUGAGAAGAAUACUUGGUAAAUGAAGCUUAAUGUGGUAAAGUGUGAUGGCAUGCAGAGAAGCAGGAGGAAACAAAAGUCAGACAAUUAUUUAUGUAGAGAUAAAUUGUCAAUGAGAGAAAUAGAGAGGCGUCAAUGUGUUCUCCUGCACAACGAAGUAGAGAUGGGUGUAGUGAGUGGUUCAUAAAAUCAUAUAUGACCAAGGUUCAGAGGUGAAUGGUUCAUUGAUAUUUAUUGCUGUAGAGAAAUAGAGAGGUUUUGUUACAGUGUCAGACAAAUGCACAAUGAUGGAUUUUGCAAAGUUAAAGCA